Molecule: long non-coding RNA, 520 nt
Filed under: Aedes aegypti (yellow fever mosquito)
Lineage: Eukaryota; Metazoa; Arthropoda; Insecta; Diptera; Culicidae
Description: lncRNA AAEL024656
Source: RNAcentral
UGAUUGUGCGUAAGUUUUUGAUCACUGAGUAUAUUAUUUUUUAGCGUGCAUUUUUCUGUGCCUCUUUCGAGACCGUGAAAAAAACAACAACCAGAACCUCGGUCGCGAAAAGUUUGUUCCGUUUUUUCCUUCAAGGAUGCAGAAAAACAGCGAUGGGACAUUGUGCGGCCUACGGCUUGAGGAAACAGUUCAACGAACCGUUCAACAAAAGGAGAAUUGAAGACCCGGCUACCGUUUGGGCCACAAGAAAAAUACGCAUCAAAAACGAUUUCAAACCACGUCCGUAGAAACAUCUUCCUGUUACACCGACGGACUUGUACCCCGGCAGCAGCAUCACCAGAACACCAUCUAAGAUAUAAUCCCGAUCCUUGCUUACUCAUUCCGGGAGGGCCAAUAGACGACCGACGAUUUUUUGUAAUUUUCGAGCUUCGGAAUGCUCAACGGGAACGAGCAGGACGGAUAAUGAAAAUUCUGAUUUAAGCUCAAGUUUUGUGUUUAUAAAUAAUAUAACAUAAUGAAA